UACGGGGGGGGCAAGCGUUGUUCGGAAUUACUGGGCGUAAAGGGCUCGUAGGUGGCCAACUAAGUCAGACGUGAAAUCCCCAGGCUCAACUUGGGAACUGCGUCUGAUACUGGAUGGCUUGAAUUCGGGAGAGGGAUGCAGAAUUCCAGGUGUAGCGGUGAAAUGCGUAGAUAUCUGGAGGAAUACCGGUGGCGAAGGCGGCAUCCCGGACCGAGAUUGACACUGAUGAGCGAAAGCUAGGGGAGCAAACGGG
RNAcentral lists this ribosomal RNA (253 nucleotides) under uncultured bacterium. RNAcentral's name for it is "partial 16S ribosomal RNA". It matches the Rfam family "Bacterial small subunit ribosomal RNA", at positions 524 to 776 of the family's 1533-position model. The record is from RNAcentral.